RNAcentral lists this long non-coding RNA (409 nucleotides) under Brassica rapa (field mustard). RNAcentral describes it as "long non-coding RNA (BRAP_LNC007022)". Lineage: Eukaryota; Viridiplantae; Streptophyta; Magnoliopsida; Brassicales; Brassicaceae. The record is from RNAcentral.
GCUUGUCGGGGUCAGAACUCCGACGAACGAAGAUUUCGAUGGUGUUUAUUCUGGCGGCUUUCUGGCGGGGCGGUCAAGUUGAGGUGGUGAUGCCGCGUGAAGCGUGAAAGGAGCAGAUCCCUCCACGUGGCGAGCCAGUCUCCUCGACGCGCUGGCUGUCUGGGUCGCGCGGUUUCUAAGUUUGGACCGAGGGCCCGUUUAAUCUUUGCCUUUUGCCCGUUCUCGUUUGGGCUUAUAGUAGUUUUUUAUGUAAGCGGGCUUCUGCCGUUGUCUGGACCCGGCCCAUUGAUUUAAUAUUAAAAAAAACAUUGACGGAAAAGAAAAAAAAAAGAAGUGGUUGUGUGUAGAAUUCUACGUUGCACGGAAGCUUCAUCGGAUGUCCGCUUCCCGCUUCGGAACCGGAAUCGGA